Callithrix jacchus (white-tufted-ear marmoset) is the source of this 776-nucleotide long non-coding RNA. RefSeq lists it as uncharacterized. The record is from RefSeq and is a predicted model, not a curated record. NCBI's taxonomy places the organism in Eukaryota, Metazoa, Chordata, Mammalia, Primates, Cebidae.
UCUAUAUCCAGCAAAAAUAUCUUUCAAAAAUACAUUUUUCAGGCAAAAACUUGGUGAACUCAUUACAAGUAGACCUGUUCUAUGGAAAAAAAUGUUAAAGUUCUUCAGACAGAAUAUAAUACCAGAUUAAAGAAUCUUGGACCUACUUGAAGAAAUGAAGAGCACUGGAAAUGGCAUUAAUGAAGGGACAUAGAUGAAUCUGGAAACCAUCUUUCUCAGCAAACUGACACAAGAACAGAAGACCAAACACCACAUGUUCUUGCUCAUAGGGAAAUCUCAAGCAGUUUCAUCCAGCAAAUAUACAAGCCUUUUGUGCCUUGAACCCCAAUGCGUAAAGACAUUCACAAACAUCCUGGAAUUGGUGCUGGCUUUCAGCCGGCCUUGUCCUUUCACCAGUUUUAAGAGUUAGUAGACGAAAAGGUCAUGAAUCUGGAAAAAUGCCCUUUCAUAGACAAGAAAUCCAAAACAAAAACAUGUGUUGGAGCCAGACCCAGGAAACUGGAAGCAACUUUAAUCGUCAUGUCAAUUAAAUGGUAAGGUGUCAUUGUCUAUAAGAAUGAUAUGUGGGCUGGGCGCAGUGGCUCAAGCCUGUAAUCCCAACACUUUGAGAGGCCGAGGCGGGUGGAUCACCAGGUCAAGAGAUCGAGACCAUCCUGGCCAACAUGGUGAAACCCUGUCUUUAUUAAAAAUACAAAAAUUAGCUGGGUGUGGUGGCGUGCACCUGUAGUCCCAGCUACUGGGGAGGCUGAGGCAGGAGAAUUGCUUGAACCCAGGAG